This is a long non-coding RNA of Mesocricetus auratus (golden hamster), 727 nucleotides long. RefSeq lists it as uncharacterized. Lineage: Eukaryota; Metazoa; Chordata; Mammalia; Rodentia; Cricetidae. The record is from RefSeq and is a predicted model, not a curated record. The transcript is spliced from 3 exons.
UGUCCCGCAUGGUCCCACAGAUGCUUUGCCCCCAAGUAAACACAUAGAGACUUGUAUUAAGUCCUCAUUUACAUUUCAUUAGGAGGUGUUGGACUGCCUGUUAAAGGACAGCUCUGUUCUUUCCCUGGAUCCUGAGUUUGGGGCAGAACUCAGUGACCCCCCCUCAAUGCACCUGCCUCUGUUCUCCAUAAACCUGACUGCCAGAACCGUAUGUCUAAGAUUCUGCCUGUCUCCCCUAUGGGUCUGAAAAAAGAGAUCCAGGACCCCGAGAGGUCAGGUGACUACUCCAGGGCCACUCAGUUAGGACAUGGCAGAAGGCCUAUAUUACCUUGCCUUCAAAGCAUCUGAGCUUCCGUCAUCUCCAAGCUGAUGACUACCCAACCUGGAGAAGGAGAUGCAGGGCGCUUUCGAGUUACUCUACUGUGUGUUGACCACGUUGCUGCUUCAGGAACGGCCCGGAGAAAAGGAAAACACCAGCCAGGAAGAACAUUAAUGGGAUUCCCCUGGAAAACGACACCAUCAAGAGUUUAGAAAAAUAUUUCCAGGGAAAUGAGGGACCCACUAUUUAAAAGACAGAAACCAGUGACCUGACACCUCUGUGCUUUAAAAAGAGACGUAAAAAAAUGGCGUCACUUACACUUUCUAACGGGAAGGAAUUUGGGAAGAGCAGAUUAUUAUUAAUUAUUUUAAUAGCUUCUUAAUUAGCCCUUCAAACAAGUUUUUUAAA